GAUGAACGCUGGCGGCGUGCCUAAUACAUGCAAGUCGAGCGGACGAACCGAAAGCUUGCUCUUCUGUCGUUAGCGGCGGACGGGUGAGUAACACGUGGAUAACCUACCUUUUAGACGGGGAUAACACCGAGAAACCGGUGCUAAUACCGGAUAAUACGAACUACCGCAUGACGCUAUGUUGAAAGACGGCGCAAGCUGUCCCUACAGGAUGGGCCCCCGGCGCUUUAGCAAGUUGGAGAGGUAACGGCUCACCAAGGCGACGAUCCGAAGCCGACCUGAGAGGGUGGUCGGGCCCACUGGGACUGAGGCACGGCCCAGACUCCUACGGGAGGGAGCAGUAGGGAAUCUUCCGCAAUGGGCGAAAGUCUGACGGAGCAACGCCGCGUGGGGGAAGAAGGCCUUCGGGUCGUAAAGCCCUGUUGUUAGGGAAGAACAAGUAGCGCAGGAACUGGCGUUAGCGUGACGGUACCUAACGAGGAAGCCACGGCUAACUACGGG
RNAcentral lists this ribosomal RNA (498 nucleotides) under uncultured bacterium. Its description in RNAcentral is "partial 16S ribosomal RNA". It matches the Rfam family "Bacterial small subunit ribosomal RNA", at positions 28 to 507 of the family's 1533-position model. The record is from RNAcentral.